RNAcentral lists this ribosomal RNA (464 nucleotides) under uncultured bacterium. Its description in RNAcentral is "bacterial SSU rRNA". It matches the Rfam family "Bacterial small subunit ribosomal RNA", at positions 338 to 795 of the family's 1533-position model. The record is from RNAcentral.
CCUACGGGAUGCACCAGUGGGGAAUAUUGGACAAUGGGGGAAACCCUGAUCCAGCGACGCCGCGUGGGUGAAGAAGGCCUGCGGGUUGUAAGCCCUUUCAGUGGGGAAGAAAAGCCUCGAGCUAAUACCUCGGGGUCUUGACGUAACCCAUAGAAGAAGCACCGGCUAACUCUGUGCCAGCAGCCGCGGUAAUACAGAGGGUGCGAGCGUUAAUCGGAAUUACUGGGCGUAAAGCGCGCGUAGGCGGCUUUGCAAGUCGGGUGUGAAAUCCCCAGGCUUAACCUGGGAACUGCAUUCGAGACUGCAUUGCUAGAGUAUGGGAGAGGGAAGUGGAAUUUCAGGUGUAGCGGUGAAAUGCGUAGAUAUCUGAAGGAACAUCAGUGGCGAAAGCGACUUCCUGGACCAAUACUGACGCUCAUGUGCGAACGCGUGGGGAGCAAACAGGAUUAGAUACCCCUGUAGUC